Molecule: ribosomal RNA, 253 nt
Filed under: uncultured bacterium
Lineage: Bacteria
Description: partial 16S ribosomal RNA
Rfam family: Bacterial small subunit ribosomal RNA
Source: RNAcentral
UACGUAGGUCCCAAGCAUUAUCCGGAUUUACUGGGUGUAAAGCGUCUGUAGCCGGUUUUGUAAGUCUAUUUUCAAAUACCUUGACUCAAUCAGGGGAAGGGAAUGGAUACUGCAUUACUGGAGUGGAUUGGGGGUUAGUGGAAUUUCUGGUGGAGCGGUGAAAUGCGUUGAUAUCAGAAGGAAUGCCAAAAGUGAAGACAGCUAACUACAAUUUUGCUGACGGUGAGAGACGAAAGCUUGGGUAGCAAACGGG